AUAGUCAUUCGAAGAAUUAGGUCGAAUCGCGCCGCCAUAAUUUGGGUAAGAAUUUCUUUCAAUUUAUCCAUUUAUUCUCUACAUUACCCCAUUCGAUUAGACAUUUUUUUCACCAAUCCCAGAUAUGAUUUUAUUUCAGGAAAAAGGUGUGAAUGAAGCCGCACCCUUUGUAAUUGAUUUCAAGAAUUUUUUUUAGCGGUUUGGUCAAGAUGAAGCAAUACUCUGUUGAUCUUCAUCUGUUUGACCGAGCUGCUUCUGUAGAUCUCUACACCUCAAGUGUUGCGAUUGAUUGCUUUUGCCGUCUGAAAAUAGCUGAUUUGGGGUUUGCAAUCUUAGGCAGUUUUUGCAAGCGUGGGUUCGAUGAUUCUACUGUGGUAAAAUUCAAUGGGCUUUUGUUGGGAGUCAUGAAAAUUGUUGAAGAAGUUGUUGGUUGAGGAACUGUGUGAGCCAAAUGAAGUUAUUUAUCUUAGUUUGAUCGAUGAGUAUGCAAAGUUGAACAUACUCUCGAGCAAUGAUUGAUAGUCCAUGGAUAGUCUAUGCAAGGAUGGAAUGAGCUUGAUCAUUCAUGGAUGACUCUUUCAUUGAUGGAUUGUACGGUUUUUAGCUGAUAAGAACGAGGCUCAAGACAUUUUGAAAAUGAUCUUUAGCCGAUGGAACGAGGCUGAAGACAUUUUAAAGAUGAUCUUUAGCCGAUGGAACGAGGCUGAAGACAUGUUAAAGAUGAUCUUUAGUAGAUGAAACGAAGCUGAAAACAUGUUAAAGAUUAUAUUUAGUAGAUGGAAUGAAGUUGAAUACAUGUUAAAGAUUAUUUUUAGUAAAUAAAAUGAGGCUGAAGACAUUUUAAAAAAGUUGGUGGUGGAGUGAGAUUAAAAGGCUUGUAAUUUUUUAGUUGAUAUGAUAUGUUGAAGAAGAUGAUGGCUGAUGAGGAUUAUUGCAAAUAGUGUUAGUUGAUAUGAUAAGUUAGAAGAUGGUGGCCGUUGAUGUUAAUUUCACAAAGAGUCUUGUCUCAGAUGUGAAGAUGGCUUGAAUCUAUUUAACGAGAUGCAAGUUUGGAUGGCUCGUGCAAAUGCUCAUCAUCAUCAUAUUGCCGAAGCAUUUUCCUUGUUGUAUGCCAUGGAAAAGAAUGGUAUUAUUCUCAGUCCUUAUUGGGGCACUUUUAAAACAAGGGUAGAAAUAGGAUUUGGUGAUGCAAAUGGGUUGCUUGUGUGAUGAUGGUGUGAGGUAUAAUGUUUUUGUUGAAGCUCUUUUAAGAAGAAACAAGAUGUUGGAUCCAAUGCCAGUCUAGAAAGAGAUGAAUUCAAGGAGCUUCAUACUUGAUGCCACUACAUUUUCAGUGUUGUUUCAACAUUUAGAAACAGAGGAUCAAUGUAAUGUUCUUUUUUGUUAAGGUUUAGAAACUUGUAGCAAAUGAUAUGUAAUCUAUAGUCUACAAUUUAUAAUCAUCAAUUUUGA
RNAcentral lists this long non-coding RNA (1452 nucleotides) under Salvia miltiorrhiza (redroot sage). The record is from RNAcentral. Lineage: Eukaryota; Viridiplantae; Streptophyta; Magnoliopsida; Lamiales; Lamiaceae.